GGUGUCGUGGUGUAGUUGAUUAUCACGUCAAUCAACACCGGAGGUCUCCGGUUCGAACUCGGGCGACGCUA
Non-coding RNA from Zostera marina, 71 nucleotides. The record is from the annotation of a GenBank genome assembly. Lineage: Eukaryota; Viridiplantae; Streptophyta; Magnoliopsida; Alismatales; Zosteraceae.